RNAcentral lists this long non-coding RNA (2004 nucleotides) under Nicotiana tabacum (common tobacco). RNAcentral's name for it is "long non-coding RNA (NTAB_LNC011046)". The record is from RNAcentral. Lineage: Eukaryota; Viridiplantae; Streptophyta; Magnoliopsida; Solanales; Solanaceae.
GCCAUAGAAGAUAGUUCAACAAUUUACUGAAAAUCUAGAUAGUGACAAAUAAAGGCUACAAUUAAAAACAAAAAAGCACGGCAAAAUUAGAAGCAAAAAGCACAAUAUAGUCAUCAGAAACAAAAGAAGAGUUAAUGGUCGAUAACACCAUUUUUUAUUUUUUGAAAUGGUAAAGGUAAACAACACUAUUGUGUUGAUUUGAGGAAAGAGAUCGAACUUUAAGUAGGCCUUCUCUGCUUCAAGGUCCAUCACAUAUUGCUCCAGAUUUCCUUAGAUGAGUAUUCAAUUGACUUUCCCGGGCCUGUAAAGGGGUAUUAAAAAAAAAGGUGGAUUCAUAUAUAGCAGUGGAAAGUUUUAAACUCCCUGAUGCUUUUAUUUGAUAUAGAGAGAUCUAUUCCAAUAGAACUCAUAAAGAUAGAAGUUUUCACCUUUACUCAAUUCCUCCAUCUGAGAGGUACACCCAACUCUAUUUAUUUCAUUUCAUUCAUGUUCUACAAUAUUUUAUCCAAAUUUUUUGUCUCGUUUUGGACCAUUUUCCUAAAAGCAUUAUCCUUCUCUGAAGUUUAAGAACUAAAAACUUCUAAUCACAAAUUUAAACUUCUGCUUUCUCCUUCAAGAAAACAAUAAAUAAAAGGUAGUAUUAAUUUGGAACCGAAAGUAAAAUCUUAAAACCAUCCAGUCCAAAAUCCCACAUUCUUUCAAAAUAAAUUAAGAUAACAAACUGACACUACUUUCACCAAAUUCUACGUAAACUUCCAUUAAUUUUUGGAUAAUGUCCCUGAAUAUGUAAUCUCAACUCCAUAAAGUCUCGCUUUCAACUAUCAUCACGUCUAUAAACUGUGGCUUAUUAACUGCAUAAAGUUGUUCAGUAACCUAAGAUUUUUAGAGAAAAGGAGCUCAAGUAUGUACUUCUAAUAAGGGGGGGUAGAAUGCGUGACUCUAAAUCUCAUACAAUUUUUCAGCAUGGGAGAUGUAAUAUUUAUGCUUUUUCAGUGAAUAAGUACCAUUUGGAAUAGUUCUAGUAUAUAUAAGAAAAAAAUAGUGGAAGUUACAAGAGUAAAAUGAUAGGUGAGAUUCUCAACAGAAAAAAAAAAUAAAGUCAAUACAAACAAUCUUACUUCACACAAUUAUCACUAAUGAAGCUGGACAUAAGUGAUAGAAACUCACCACUUAUGUUUAUCUGACUUUUACUUGUUAAUCUCCAACAUACUUGAAUUGCAAAAAAAAGGACAAAGUAAUAUUACUUGAUACAACUCAAAGACUGAUCAAGAAAAGAAGGAAAAACUAAUAGGGAGACAUACACUGCAACGAUACAAAAAUUUGCUGAGUGCCUGCAAAAUCAAACAAAAUAACCAACAUUAAAAUGGUGUAGAAACUGAACCAAGCUACAAAUCUGCAGUCACGAAUGAGAAUACCAAAAACUAAAAAUGAAACAAAAGCAAAAAAGAGAUUAUAUUGCCAAAAUUAUAUACCAGAGAGUGGGUUGCUCUAGUGUUGAGCACGCUCCACUUCCGACCAAGAGAUUGUGUGUUCGAGUCACCCAAAAAAGAGCAAGGUGGGGAAUUCUUGGAGGGAGGGAGGUCUAUCGAAAACAGUCUCUCUACCCAGGGUGUAGGGGUAAGGUUUGCGUACACACUACACUACCCUCCCCAGACGUGCUAGUGAUUAUUCUGGGUUGUUGUUGUAAACUUACACAUGCAGUACAAAGAGCAACUUGAUGAAAAUCGAAAAAAAUGAUAGCCCAAAUUUUUUAAGUCAAGUAGGACUUGAAUACCUCCUGCAGCGCAAAAAGUUCAAAAAAGUUAUCCAAAUUAAAUACGGUAUAAUUCACGGACUCCCUAGCUAAUUAGUAGGGAGGAAACUGAAAUUUCACAAGAAAAUUCCAAAAGAAACCAAAAAAGGAAGAGGACUAAGCAGAGAAGUAGAAGAUCGAGCAGAAAUGGAAGUAGAGAAUAGAAGAAAACUCACCAGAAGAAAGAAGAACGACGGAGAGAGAAAGCAAAC